Clupea harengus (Atlantic herring) is the source of this 2993-nucleotide RNA transcript. RefSeq lists it as uncharacterized. The record is from RefSeq and is a predicted model, not a curated record. The transcript is spliced from 9 exons. NCBI's taxonomy places the organism in Eukaryota, Metazoa, Chordata, Actinopteri, Clupeiformes, Clupeidae.
GGAGAUGGGUGUUGAUGAGGACAACAUAGACAUAUAUAGGUCUAUGGAGGACAUGGUCAGUCCUGCCGGCCCAACUGACCAGCAGGUCUCCACCACAGGGACACUCCUCGCCACAGGAGCCUCCUCUGUGUUUGUAGAUAGGACAGCAACACAGACACAGAAUCACAGCGAUUAACCCAAAAAUGCUACAUACCCUGAGGGUAUUCCCACAUAUGCAACGGCCAUAACUGAGCAACCUUUGAAAGAUACAUCAGCACCCAAUACAUCACAGCAUCUUGGACAUCAGCCCAUUGGAGAUACAUCAGCACCCUAUACAUGACAGCAUCUUGGAGAUCAGCCCAUUGGAGAUACAGGGGGUCAGACGCAAAUGCAACAAUUCCAGGCUCCAGGACCGGCAGGAAAUCUGAUGGGGUUUCCAGGAGGAUGGCGUGAUGGGGCUAAAGGCCCGACGUCACAGCAGAAGCUCUCACGCCUGAGGUCCCAAGACCAGGAUGAAACGAAACCAUCAGAGGAUGAGAUGCAAAACCAGCAGCCGUCUAAACCCCAGGAUGUUGCAGCAGUCCUUGUGGAAAUAGAAGGGGAAGGAAAAGAACAGCCACCAAAAUGGGCGAAAAUGGUUAGGAAGGCCCUGCAGACAUUCUUCAACAGAGACUUUAAGGGGAUUGAGGUCUGCAAUCUAGAUAUUUUGGACGCUCCAUUUUCAGCCAAGAUUAUAAUAAGCCCUUCAUCAGCCUGUGAAAAGCUGUUGAACAUGAAGUCAGCACCACUGAAUUUCAAGGAUAGAGAUGAAAAAGCCACUGUGCACUUCAGAACCACAGUGCCAAUAGAUGAGCCUCCAGUGUCAGCACCCAUACACAAAUAUGGAAGUUCUGUGCAAAAAACACAAGAGAUCCCAAUGACCGUGAGUGCUGUUGUGGAUGUCCGGAAGUUUGAAAUUCAGCUUGAGAAGAAACUCCUGUGCAUAUUUGAACAACACAAAACAGGGAGUCAUACUCUCACAGUGAAUGGGACCUUUGAAGAAGUGGAAAUUUUUUACAAGGAAUUCAACCAAGUUAUUGGACAGCCAGUAACAAGAAAUACCAACACUGUGUUUAAACACACCAACCCCAACCAGAUGGAGACCAGUAGAGAGCCUAUGAGGGUGCCACUGUUUCAGUAUUGGUACUUGAAUCAGAUGCAAAGGAUGGAAAUAGAACGCAUUCAAGACAAACAUGGAGUGGCAAUCAAAGCUGAUGUGUGUGUUACAGUUGAGGAGAUCAGUGGAGCCACCAGCGAGUCAUGCACAGAUGCUACCAACGAAUUCAUCGACCUGUUCAGAAAAUGUGCCAGUAAUAUUGUGAAUGUUCCUGUGCCCAGUGCGGCGUUGGAGUUGGUUUAGCGUUUGGAUGACAAACUCAUGCUUACUGCAUCUGCCCAAAACUGCAUCCUGCUAGGACCACCUGAUAGUGUAGUUGCAGUGCAUAGACUGUUGAAUCAGCCGGCUAACAAGGAUGAUCCAAGAUCAGAGAGACCUGAGGUACAUUGGGACAAGGACCGAAACAAGAAUCCCCAUGGAGAAACUAGAUGGACUGGACCCGAAGCUAUUGAGAUGAACUGCAAACAGAAACCAUCAGAGGAUGAGCUGCAAAACCAGCAGCCGUCUAAACCCCAGGAUGUUGCAGCAGUCCUUGUGGAAAUAGAAUGGGAAGGAAAAGAACAGCCACCAAAAUGGGCGGAAAUGGUUAGGAAGACCCUGCAGACAUUCUUCAACAGAGACUUUGAGGGGAUUGAGGUUUGCAAUCUAGAUAUUUUGGAAGCUCCAUUUUUAGCCAAGAUUAUAAUAAGCCCUUCAUCAGCCUGUGAAACGCUGUUGAACAUGAAGUCAGCACCACUGAAAUUCAAGGAUAGAGAUGAAAAAGCCACUGUGCACUUCAGAACCACAGUGCCAAUAGAUGAGUCUCCAGUGUCAGUAGAUGAGGGUCCAGUGUCAGCAGAUGAGGGUCCCGUGUCAGUAGAUGAGCCUCCAGUGUCAGCAGAUGAGGGUCCAGUGUCAGUAGAUGAGGGUCCAGUGUCAGCAGAUGAGGGUCCAGUGUCAGUAGAUGAGGGUCCAGUGUCAGCAGAUGAGGGUCCAGUGUCAGUAGAUGAGGGUCCAGUGUCAGCAGAUGAGGGUCCAGUGUCAGUAGAUGAGCCUCCAGUGUCAGCAGAUGAGGGUCCAGUGCCAGUGUCAGCACCCAGCACCAGGAAUGGGACCUUUGAAGAGGUGGAAGAAUUCUACAAGGAAUUCCAGCAGGUUAUUGGACAGCCAGUAACAAGAAAUACCAAGACCAGUAGAGAGCCUAUGAGGAUGCCACUGUUUCAGUAUUGGUACUUGAAUCAGAUGCAAAGGAAGGGAAUAGAACGCAUUCAAGAGAAACAUGGAGUGACGAUCAAAGCUGAUGUGUGUGUUACAGUUGAGGAGACCAGUGGAGCCACCAGCGAGUCAUGCACAGAUGCUACUAACGAAUUCAUCGACCUUUUCAGAAAAUGUGCCAGUGAUAUUGUGAAUGUUCCUAUGCCCAGUGCGGCGUUGGAGUUAGUUCUGCGUUUGGAUGACAAACUUAUGCUUACUGCGUCUGCCCAAAACUGCAUCCUGCUAGGACCACCUGAUAGUGUAGCUGCAGCGCAGAGACUGUUGAAUCAGCCGACUAACAAGGAUGAUCCAAGAUCAGAGAGACCUGAGGUACAUUGGGACAAGGACCGAAACAAGAAUCCCCAUGGAGAACAUAGAUGGAAUAGACUCAAAGGCCCUGUAAGACCACCUGUUAAGCAGCCUGGACCAGUUCCACAAAUGCAAUAAAAAUCACGUCGUCGAAGGCAACGCAUAUAUUCACAAAAGUCAAAAUUCUAUACGUGUUUUGCUACUGAUGUUACCUUUCCUUGUAUUUUGUUAUACCGUACGUAUAUUCUGUCCUGUUUGUUAUGAUAAUGUAUCGUUUAUAAAUGUUGUGUGUCAAUAAAGACUGAGUUGGAUUGUG